GACAGAGGGUGCAAACGUUGUUCGGAAUUACUGGGCGUAAAGCGCGUGUAGGCGGCCGUGCAAGUCGGAUGUGAAAGCCCUGGGCUCAACCUAGGAAGUGCACUCGAAACUGCAUGGCUGGAGUUCUGGAGAGGAAGGCGGAAUUCCAGGUGUAGCGGUGAAAUGCGUAGAUAUCAGGAGGAACACCGGUGGCGAAGGCGGGUCUCUGGGCCGAUACUGACGCUGAGGAGCGAAAGCGUGGGGAGCGAACAGG
RNAcentral lists this ribosomal RNA (253 nucleotides) under uncultured bacterium. RNAcentral describes it as "partial 16S ribosomal RNA". It matches the Rfam family "Bacterial small subunit ribosomal RNA", at positions 524 to 776 of the family's 1533-position model. The record is from RNAcentral.